UGAAAAUAUAGCAUACGUUACUUAUAAUGUAUGCUUGCGAGUUUUCAUGAUCCCUAAAUUAUAACAUAUGUCAAUGUAUGUGACACAUAGUUCUCUUUUAAAUAAAACUACCAAUAAGAGGCAAAUACUUAUAUUAGUAAAUGAUGCUUUGCGGCAAUAGCUUUUCAGAAUCAUUUCAAUUCAUUCAUUUAACAAGAAUUUCUUCAGCAACUCUUCUAAGAGCUUGGUUUACAUAAACAAAGAUCUCUGCCUGGUGGAGCUUAAAUUCAUGUAAUUCUGGUUAACUCGGUGCUCCAUUUUCUUUCGUUGUUUUCCCUCUUCACACGCUGAAGAAAAUCAGUUUCAUAUUUAAGCUCAUCUGUUCUCCACGUGGCAUCAGUCCCAAUCUAGUAAGCAGGGACUGGGACCGUCCAGCUUCGCAGGGUUUGCAACGUUGGACCAAAGAGAAGAGUCCUCCGGAGGUCCUAGAAGGGCAAGCCGCGCAUUACCAUAGAGACCACGGACUGGAAAGGCGCUAUCUGCACUUCCGGGCUCAGCCCCUGGACUCUGAGGUAAGGAUGGGUGUUUUUCUGGCCUCUUCUGAGGAGGUCCUUGGGCUUCUUCGGCCCCACCGCGGCGAAGACAGGACCGGCAAGACUCGGGAAGAUGCAGAGGUCGCGGGGCAGGCCAGUAACCUAAAAUGCAGAGUGGAGCUUCUAAACUUAACUGGUCUCUAAAGCCAUAUUGCCAGUGGACAAAAAAUGCAGAGCGGCUCCUGCCUCUUGGCUCAAAAUGUCAGUUACUGGGAGAAGGCAGUUAUUUUGAUGGGGUUCACAGGGCUUUUGCUCCCUUGAGGAGGCCUAUCCUGAGCAGCAGGCCCUGGAUGUCCUACCCGGAGAGAGACGGUACUGGAGAGGUGGGGAGCUAGCAGUCAUCUUUCUACUUAUGAGGUGAAUUUUGCUGGAAAAGGAGCAUAUCUUUAAAAUGAUGGUACCAAGAGCUGAUUUUUGGUUGUUACACAUAUGAAGUGAAGUGAAGUUGCUCAGUCGUGUCCGACUCUUUGUGAUCCCGUGGACUGUAGACUACCAGGCUCCUCCGACCAUGGGAUUCUCCAGGCAAGAAUACUGGGGUGGGUUGCCAUUUCCUUCUCCACGGAAUCUUCCCAACCCAGGGAUCUAACCCAGGGAUGGUACCCAGGUUUCCCGCAUUGGAGGCAGACGCUUUAACCUCUGAGGCACCAGUGGAACUAUAUGACUAUUACCCCAAAAAAAAAAAAAAAAAAUAGACCCAAGUGAACACUGGGCUGUACUACACCUGAUAUAUCUAUGGGAGGAGAGGCCAACCUUCAGUUUAAUAACACCAGCUUUCCCUGUCAGUGCCUUGUACACCUGGAGCAGAUGCUAAACAAUUCAUUUAUUCAUUUAAUUCAUGCAUUCACACAUUCAUUCACACAUUUGUUGUGUGUAUUUGAAGUGCCAGGUAAUGAUUCUGAUACCAAGUAUGGUACCUCAAGUUACUUCAGUCUGGUUAGUGAAACAGACUAGAAAAUCUGUGAUAACAGUCCAGUGUGAUAAACACUGUGAUAGAAGCAGGUAUAGGGUGUUGUGGGAAUAGGAUCAGCGGUAAAAUGGGAAUAAAAUAUUUGGCUUAAAAUUUUUUGGCUUUAUG
This 1647-nucleotide long non-coding RNA is filed under the name Bos indicus x Bos taurus (hybrid cattle). RNAcentral describes it as "lncRNA (ENSBIXG00000013263.1)". Lineage: Eukaryota; Metazoa; Chordata; Mammalia; Artiodactyla; Bovidae. The record is from RNAcentral.